GGAGGGCAAAGAAGUCUCUUUAGAAAGCAGCAAAAUAUGCAUGGCUAAACCCUAAAGGGUCUUUGUUAGAGAGCGAUGGGAAUAAUCCUCUUCAGAAAGAAUGACAACUCCAUGAAGCCUCAUGACUGCAUACCUUAGAGGUGUGCCUAUAUACUCUACCCACUUUACAAAUGGGAGCGGUCACAUGACUCACCCACGGCCUCACAGUGCAUUGGUGGCAGAGACAGAAUUAGAAACCAAGAGUUCCUUCCCGACAGCUCCAUGCUCAGGUCACAGUGCUUGGAAUUACAAUUUGCCAAUAUGUAAUUCUGCUGCUUUCCCCCCAUUUCAGUGUUAGUCAUUAGGACCAGGAACCAAUGAAGAUCUAGACACUGCGCUUCCUAACCAUGCCAGCAACGGAGUGUGCAAGCCUCAGUGUGGACUAAGAGAAAAACAAGAGACUUUUGGAGUCCCUUCUUUUCUCACAUGAAAACCAAACUCCUUUUCCUUUGCAGAGCACUGGCAAAUCCUACAGCAGAAGCUCUGCAGACAACAGGCUGAGCCCCUCACUUGGAGGAAGUGUGCAAGCCUUUCUUCUGGAGCAUCUAUUCCUGGCUAGCUUGCAGAGGAAAAGUGAACAUAGAUCUUCCCCAGGCCUGAAGCUCAAAGGUCCAUUUAUGUAACUGGCCUGGGUGAUCACACCAGUCCUGUCAAAGGCCCCAAAUGACAACACAUCAGGGCACUGCAGCUAACCCAGGUUUCUCCUCCCACAUAGGCUUUGGGAUGCAGCAAGACUGCAGAAGCAGGAAGGAGGCUGCAGGCUGUUUUAGCGACCCAGGAUCAGAUGCCAACCAGGGACCAUGCUGUGGAUUACACUGGGAGGAGGGACCUAAUAGUAUUCCCACAAACAUCUCUCUCAGUAUCAAACUGCCAGGAAAUAGUAUGGGCCAAGACCAAGCACCUUUGGAUCUGCAGCCCAUCAUGGAAAAUCACCACCAUCUUUCAACCAGAAAGAGAGCCAAGUGUGCUACCCUCAUGGAAACCAGACUCAGGAGACCAGGGGGGCUAAAGGAGAUGUGGUCCUCAGCCUGUCAUGCAGGGCAGACUGGCAUAAUUUUGUUCUUGGUUAACACAUCUAUGCCUCACUGUAAGUGCAGAUGUUUCAGCUAGAUUCUCGCAAAGCUCAGACAUUGGGACAAGAAAAAAUAAACUGGAGAAGUUCUUGAAUCAUUCUGCUUCCAAGGGAGCCAAAUUAAAAAUCCCUCCCUCCCCACCAUGGGCUCUACACUCUGCCCUGGAAUCUCAGCAGCAGGAGGACUGCUCUCUAGAAGCCCUAUUCAGAACACUAGUUCCAGUGCUAUGAUUCCAGGCACUGCAUUCCACUCUGUAUUUUUUAGGUACAAACACGUGAUAGCCACAGAGCUUUUAACUAGCAAAGCAUGGAUAAAACCAGACAGGAAGUAGGAGGGGGCCUAUGCUUAACCUUAGAGACAUAUGAAUUGCUGGAAGACCAGAGCGCAAAGCAAAGGAGAGUUUCUUCCUUGGGAUGUUUCAAGACAGCAGCUGAUGAGGCCUCACACUCCUGCCCUGGGAGUGAAGUGAUCUGGGAUCUUAGUUUUUUAGAUUUUUCUUGUUCAUCUCCAAGAAAAGCACCCUGUCCAAUCUUGUGCAGGUAAGAUACCAAAUGUCAAGGUUAGGUCUGAGGUCACAGUAGAUUUUUAGUGGGACACCAGGUAGUGUCAGGAUAGAGAAGACAAUGGACAGAUCUGAAUCUGUGAAAAGAGAAAGACGAGAAGACAACAUGAGACAUGAGCUCAUCAGUUUGGGGACACCUCAGCCAAAACUCUUGGAAUGUUCACGCAUCCCAAAACUGCAGGGAAAUUGGCCAUAACCCAACUGGAGUGUGGAGGCAAUAUAAGAAAUGCUGACCCAGCUUGUGUGCUUGAGUUUUCUGCAGUCUGUAGGUGUAGACAGGGCAAGCAGAAUUUGUUUUGGAAGGAGGUACUCACCGGGUUGGAUCUUGCUGCAAGCCAAACACUCCUGCCACACUCACAACAUUGUGUUUGUUCUCAGGGCCCCCAUAACUCAGAGUGACCUGAAAAAGCAAACGUAAAGUUAGAACCUACAACAUAGCAGAGAGUGACUGAGUGGAAGAGGUCUUAAUGAGGGAUGAGGAGGAUCUAAAGGGAAAGAGACAUCCUAUGUGAUCUGAGUGUCAGAAGUUACACAUAAAAGGUGAUAGUUCGCUUUGUCAUAAUGGUUAACUUAGGAUAGAAGCCUUUUGAGAGAACCUGCUGACCAUCCAAAGCAGAACAGGAAGAAGAAAUCAAACAGAGUGAGGGAGACAAGAAAAGCUUAGAUAAGCAGCUGUGGAGGAGAAGAUACCACCUAACCAACUUUACAUGUAAGCUUUAGUAUGGCACCCAUUACCAUAAUGUCUGAAUGCCUAACAAAACAGUAAUAAAUUCAUCCUCACAGACACUCCUGUUAGAUCAGUCAUAUUAUCCUCAUUUUACAGUGGGAAAAUGAAGGCACGGAGAAGUUAAAUGACUUGCACAAGGUCACACUGCGAGUAUGGCACAGCUGGCAACAGAUCUCUGAAGCCUGAGUCCAGUGUCUUAACAAUAAAACCAUUCUUCCAUAUGGAGGCUGCAUUACAUAUUUCCUAAAUCUAAAGCCUAAGAGUUCAGUUCUCUGAUAAUCUUUAGGAGCAACAAGAUUUUCUGAUUAGCUGUUAAAGUUAAUCUCAGGAGAAAGGGCUAUCACAAAGGGAGGGCCAGAUUCAUCACCGCUUACUUCUGGUGUGAUUACACCAGAUCUGAAUGUGGCUCUGAAAGUGCGUGUUUAUUGCCUAAUAAAACUGUUAGAACAAUUUGAAUGGGUAUUCUGUGGGUGGGAACCUGUGUUCUUGUUUAGGGUGUACGUAGAUAAGCAGUGAAGGAAUUUUAAUUUGGGGCAGCUUUACAGCACCACCUAUUGUCCAUCAAAGAAGAUGCUGCAGAAGUAAUUAUUUUUAAACAAGCUUAUGUAUUUCAAUACUCACAACCAAUACUGAAGAAACUCUUUAGCAGCUUAAAACUUGAUAUGCAGACAAGUCACUCUCUUAAGAGAUUCCAUAUAAUUUAAUAAAUAAUCAGACAGACAUUUAAUGAUGUCCCCAUUAUUGGUAUGAAUUAAAGCUGAGGCUGAAUCACUUUGCCAGGAAAAAAUGCAAAUCUCUUGCUUUCGUAGGUGUACUGUAAUUUCAUGUGCCUCAGGAAUGGAAAGGAAGAAGACAGAGGUGGCAAGGUAAUAGCAUGGCUGGGACUGGAAGGGAUAGUCAGAAAAGGGGAGAACUAAAGGUGACCUAGCUGGCCAGGACGGAAAUGUGCCUGUUAUCCAAAUGCAGGAGGUGGACAUGGGACUGCCCUGGUCAACUACAUAAGCAGCUUGGAGUAAUGGUGAAAUUACAGGCCUGGUACCAUCUGCCUUUCCUGAAAACCAGGGAGAAGGUAGCUGCACCUGCAGAGAUGAUUUCUUUUGAUCAGACUGAGGAGUGUCUCAAAGGCCAGGGCCUGUUUUGAACAAGGCACGAGGCUUCGCCUUACCUGCUGCAGCACUGACUCGCCUCGUAGUCUCUGCAGAUUUUCCAGAUGGGAAUGGAACAAGGGGCUGUGCAGCAGCGUCACCUCCAGCAGCCCCUCGAUGAUGUAACCAAUGGUGCAGUCAUCAGGAAGACGUACCCUCUCUGCAGUGCUGAUGAAGUUACCCAAGCUGUCAGGAGAGAGGAUGGAGUUGGAGAGUCAAAUGCACCCUUAAUCCUAUCGAAGCCAUGGGGUCUCUGCUACUGAGGUGCAUUUACCUGGCCCAGGGACUCAUCUUCAGGGCAAGACCCCUGCUGAUACAGAACCCUGCUCCACCUGUGGCAAACCAGAACUUCACGGUUGACUAGUGAACAGCAAAAGCAACAAGAAAAAAAAGAGACACUUGUUAAUGAUACUCAGCUUUUCCCAUCUGCCUGGGUAGGGAAAAGGAUCUUCUGCUCUGCAGCACAUUGGACACAUGAUCUGAGCAAAUAUCUGGACUUUGGGCUACCCCUGCCUCUUUGAACUCCUGGAAGCUAGACAUUCUCUCAUAAGGCAACUCUUAUCACCUUGCCGCUGCCACCCCAGGGCCAGUGGAGUCUGAGUGAAACAGAGAGCAUACAGGGAAUGGAAAACCAGAGUUCCAGUGGAGAACUGAGGAGAAGCCCAAUUCCCCUGUACAACCCUCUGUAUGGUCCUCUGCCCUCCAGAGUCAUAGUCAGCCUGGAAUAAGCUUCUCUGGGGAAAUCAGAGGAGCCCUGCUGGAGCCAAGUGAUUAAGGCUGAGGAGACUACUUAAUCAUGCAGGGUUUUUCAUAACAGGCCAGUUCACCUGGAUGCAUUGCCAGGGAAUUUAUCUGCUGGCCUGGCAACUUGGUACUUGCUCCUCAAGAUAAAGAUGCUCAUGUAUCUUGUGACUGAAACACACUGGGGCUCCAGGAAAAUGAUUGCUCAAUACUGGAAGUGACCAUUCCCAAACAAGUCACAGAGCGAUUGUAUAAUCUCCUGAGGUUAGCGCAGGAUGGCAGCAGAUGAAGUACUGAGAUGUUACUUUCUAGGCGAGACAGCCUAACAUUCAGAGGACUCUACAGUUUUGACUGGACUUUUCCUGCCUAUGCUGAUUGGUUGUCUGCUCCGGCUCUCUCCCUCCCCCCUUCUCCUCCCUUAAUCUCCUCAUAUUAGCUUCAUACCACAGUUGUCCCUCUUACCCUCUUCUCCCCUGACCUGUUCCCUUCCUUUUCCCUGCCCUUCAGUGUCCCCUCUCCCUUCACCUUUAUUUCCUUUUCACAGGUCCCCUCCUAACUACCUCCCCACAAAAAGCCAUUGAACUAACAUGAUGUUUGCUGCCACCACGUUGUUCACUCUACUUCUGUGUUCUACCCCUUCCUCACCCCCUGUCUGUCUCAUCUGUUUUGACUGUAAAUUCUUUGGGGGUGGGGGCUGGCUACUACUGCUGUGUUUGUACAGUGCCUAGCACAACGGGUCCUAUUCUUGGUUGGUAUUUAGGCAUUACUGUAAAAAUGUGAUUAAUAAUCAUGAGUAAAAGAGGAUUAAAAUGAAGGCUCCCAGAA
This is a long non-coding RNA of Mauremys mutica (yellowpond turtle), 5112 nucleotides long. RefSeq lists it as uncharacterized. The transcript has 2 exons. The record is from RefSeq and is a predicted model, not a curated record. NCBI's taxonomy places the organism in Eukaryota, Metazoa, Chordata, Testudines, Geoemydidae.